RNAcentral lists this ribosomal RNA (253 nucleotides) under uncultured bacterium. RNAcentral's name for it is "partial 16S ribosomal RNA". It matches the Rfam family "Bacterial small subunit ribosomal RNA", at positions 524 to 776 of the family's 1533-position model. The record is from RNAcentral.
UACGAAGGGGGCUAGCGUUGCUCGGAAUCACUGGGCGUAAAGGGUGCGUAGGCGGGUCUUUAAGUCGGGGGUGAAAUCUUUCAGCUUAACUGGAAAAGUGCCUCCGAUACUGAUCGUCUCGAGGGAGGUAGGGGCAUGUGGAACUUCCGGUGGAGCGGUGAAAUGCGUAGAUAUCGGAAGGAACGCCGGUGGCGAAAGCGACGUGCUGGACCUCUUCUGACGCUGAGGCACGAAAGCCAGGGGAGCAAACGGG